AUCAAACUGAGGCUGAUUGCUGAUGCAUCCAGCGUAGAGAGAGACUGAAGACAAAGCUGUAGUGGGUUGCUGAUUCCUUCAAGCAUCUUCUUGUUACGAGAGAGAGAGAGAGAGUGAAAGGCGAAGAAGCUAACGUUGUAAGGAUCGUCCCUGCACAGUCAAAACAUAAGCGCCCGUCGAUUGAUGGACAUGGAUAGAUUUUUAACGAAUUUUCAGUGUUUAGAAAUAUAGGAGACGAG
Molecule: unclassified non-coding RNA, 239 nt
Filed under: Hevea brasiliensis (rubber tree)
Lineage: Eukaryota; Viridiplantae; Streptophyta; Magnoliopsida; Malpighiales; Euphorbiaceae
Source: RNAcentral